This 148-nucleotide ribosomal RNA is filed under the name Pantodon buchholzi (freshwater butterflyfish). Lineage: Eukaryota; Metazoa; Chordata; Actinopteri; Osteoglossiformes; Pantodontidae. The record is from RNAcentral.
GAUCAUCGGACGGGGCCCCCCGCCCCCGACGCGACUGUCGACCGGGUCGGACUGUCCUCAGUGCGCGCCCGACCGCGUCGCGCGCCCGGGCGGGGAUCGGCCCGCGUCGCCGGCGCCAGGGGUCAGCGGCGAUGUCGGCAACCCACCC